This 278-nucleotide ribosomal RNA is filed under the name Lactobacillus iners. Its description in RNAcentral is "partial 16S ribosomal RNA". It matches the Rfam family "Bacterial small subunit ribosomal RNA", at positions 408 to 678 of the family's 1533-position model. The record is from RNAcentral. Lineage: Bacteria; Bacillati; Bacillota; Bacilli; Lactobacillales; Lactobacillaceae.
AAAAAGGGUUUCCGCUCGUAAAGCUCUGUUGUUGGUGAAGAAGGACAGGGGUAGUAACUGACCUUUGUUUGACGGUAAUCAAUUAGAAAGUCACGGCUAACUACGUGCCAGCAGCCGCGGUAAUACGUAGGUGGCAAGCGUUGUCCGGAUUUAUUGGGCGUAAAGCGAGUGCAGGCGGCUCGAUAAGUCUGAUGUGAAAGCCUUCGGCUCAACCGGAGAAUUGCAUCAGAAACUGUCGAGCUUGAGUACAGAAGAGGAGAGUGGAACUCCAUGUGUAG